CUUUUACCACUUCUUGCCUAGGAUUGGCUCAAAACCCUAACCCAAGCUAUACAAGUCUCCAAUUUCACAUCUUCCUUCUACAUGUACAAUUCUGCCUAUAAAUGUUAAUUAAAAUAUCUAAGAUUUUUCGCAUGAACAAUCCUUUAGAUCUCAUAAUUUUCUGUUUUUAUAUGCUUUAGAUUUCUUAUCUCUGCGACCUUAAUUUGUGUUUGUAAUCAUUUUCUACUUUACUUGAAUUUGGAGAUUAGUGUAUUUUGAUGAAAAAAUUGAAUUUAUAUUUGGGUUAGCGCUUUGAUUUGAAGGUAUUAAUUUAUGAUGUUGAAGCGCACAUUGAAGGAGUUUAAGGAUCUGUAGAAGGAUCCUCUAGUUGAACCCAAAUUUGAAAAUGAAAGAAGUCUCCCACAUCAUGCGACACUGGUAUGUGAGCUCGACAUCCUAUUUUCCCUCCCACUUCUCAUUAUUUUAUGAGUCCCGAGCUUAUGUGCUAGUUUUGUUAGCUUAAGACCAAUAAUUAGGUCUGUGUGAUCGAACUUUUUAUGUUUUUUGCGGCUUUACGAGGCUCUAUUUUUUGCGGCUUUCCGAGUCUCUUUUUUUUGCGGCUUUGCGAGGUUCUUGCUGCUAAGUUUAGAACUUAUAGCAGAGAACUUGUCUGAUUUACUAAUUAUUUGUUUUUGUAUUAGCAGAAUUGGAUUAUUUGAAUGUUUGUUUCUAUAACAUUACCACCGUGUUUCAUAUUCUCUAGUUGUUGAAGCUUUUAUUGGUAAAAGGAAACCCCCAAUUUUUGAAUCCCUAAUUUGUUACUUGUUAAUCUCUUAUUUUUUAUUUUUCAAAAAAAAAAGGGGAAUCCUUUUGAUUUUCUGAAUUUGUCUUGAUUGUUAACUCGCCAAAAAUAAAAUAUGGUAUGUAGAGUCGUAUUUUUCACUAUAAAUAUUACACCCCUUAUCAUAUAAUUUUUCAAAAAAAAAAGGGACUCACUUUGAAGUUCCAUAAUUUUUCAUAUUCAUUGCUUGAGAAAUGCUACUAGCCAAGAUCCAUUAUUGUAAAACUGCUUCUAAUCUACUGGUUAGUGCUCGACUGAAGUAUUUUAAAUUUAAAUGUGAUAGUUCUUGUUGGGAUCACUCUUAACGCCUUAAAUAUUUGGUAGAAAUGAUCCAAGUAUGUUUCUAGACCUUAUGUGUGCCUAGCUUUGGUUUAGUGGGUGGGAUAUGAGAGAACUGAUCACUAUUAAGCUGAUAUGGAUUAUAAUAUUGUUUAGGGUCUAUGGGAAAUAGUCUCGACCUUUGAGGUAGAAGUAAGGUUUGCGUAUACUUACUUUAUUCGUUGCCGAGCUCUAUCCUACCUGAACUCCUUAAAAGACGAAUGCAGAUCGAAUUGCUUGUUGAACUUCAAUACUUUCCUAUUUUAUAAUUUUCUACUUUGCUGGAUGAUGGGUAUGCAACAAAACUGUUAGAAGAUUGAUACUUCUUAGUCUAUACUUAUAAACAUUUGGCAAUAUCAUUACAUACCCUCCCACAAAAAAUAACAUAGUUCAUUUACCACAAUAGGCCUUAGUACCAAAUGAUUGGUGUCGACUAUGAAAUAGUUUGUCCAAAAGGGUCAACAAUGUAGGUUCAAGAUGAACUCCAAAGUCCAGAUACUUUUACCGAAGAAGUGGCCAAGCUCAUUUCUCAUGUUUACUCUACAUCUGAAAAAAAACUGAUGUAUUAACAUCUCCUCUAGGAAUUUAUUGCAGUUUCAUUAUUCCAAGAAAUAUUGAUAUCAUUGGAAAUUUCUUUUGUGUUGUGUUUUAAAAACUUGUGAUGAAACCUAUCUAAAAUAUGAGCAUGAACUUUUUUGGACAAAUAUGUGGUUCAUGAAGUGAUUCUCUAUGGGAAACAACAUCUUUACCUCUCGAGGUAGUGGUAAAGUUUGCAUAAACAUUACCUUUUCUAGACCCCACUUGUGGAAUAUCACUGGGUAUGUUGUUUGUUAUUGAAUUGAGUUUUCUUUAAGUUCUCAUGUUUGUGGUCUUGGGUUUUAGUUAUUUAGUUGCUCCACUUUUAUCCUGUUGGGCAAUACACUUGACAUUUUUUAAGAUUUGAGCUUAGUGUACUAGGACUAAAUUAUGUUGCACAACUUUCAUUGAUCAUAUUGUCUCUUUGUAUUCUUAAAAUACAUUUGCAAUCUUACUCCAAGGUUACCUCUUUUAUUUUAAUAUGAGAUUAUGAAAAUUGUCAAAGAAAUCAUAUGUUUUAACUUUUAAUUGCAGGGAUAGGAUUCUAAAACAUAAAUGGUGUCAAUGAAGGACGAGUUCGAAGGCCUAUAAUGUUCUUUUUUCUUAUCACAUAUGUACACUGACAUUAAACAAUAUACAAUAUUUUUUGUAAUGGAAGUAUUUGCAUUAUUCAACUUGUGAAUUUUUUAUGUUCACUAAUUAAUAUUGGAUGCUUUAUUGGUAGGC
This 2440-nucleotide long non-coding RNA is filed under the name Solanum tuberosum (potato). RNAcentral describes it as "long non-coding RNA (STUB_LNC009645)". The record is from RNAcentral. Lineage: Eukaryota; Viridiplantae; Streptophyta; Magnoliopsida; Solanales; Solanaceae.